ACCGGCGGCUCGAGUGGUGGCCACUAUUACUGGGCUUAAAGGGUUGGUGCCUGCUUGGUUAAGUCUUUGGGGAAUUCUUCCGGUUAAACCGGAAGGCGUUUCAGGGAUACUGGCAGGCUAGGGACCGGAAGAGGUGAGAGGUACUCCAGGGGUAGGAGUGAAAUCCUGUAAUCCUUGGGGGACCACCUGUGGCGAAGGCGUCUCACCAGGACGGCUCCGACAGUGAGGAACGAAAGCUGGGGGAGCAAACCG
Molecule: ribosomal RNA, 252 nt
Filed under: uncultured prokaryote
Description: partial 16S rRNA
Rfam family: Archaeal small subunit ribosomal RNA
Source: RNAcentral